RNAcentral lists this ribosomal RNA (482 nucleotides) under uncultured bacterium. Its description in RNAcentral is "partial 16S ribosomal RNA". It matches the Rfam family "Bacterial small subunit ribosomal RNA", at positions 30 to 507 of the family's 1533-position model. The record is from RNAcentral.
AUUGAACGCUGGCGGCAUGCCUUACACAUGCAAGUCGAACGGUAACGGGCCUUCGGGUGCCGACGAGCGGCGAACGGGUGAGUAAUACAUCGGAACGUGCCCGAUCGUGGGGGAUAACGAGGCGAAAGCUUUGCUAAUACCGCAUACGAUCUACGGAUGAAAGCAGGGGACCGCAAGGCCUUGCGCGGACGGAGCGGCCGAUGGCAGAUUAGGUAGUUGGUGGGAUAAAAGCUUACCAAGCCGACGAUCUGUAGCUGGUCUGAGAGGAUGAUCAGCCACACUGGGACUGAGACACGGCCCAGACUCCUACGGGAGGCAGCAGUGGGGAAUUUUGGACAAUGGGCGCAAGCCUGAUCCAGCCAUGCCGCGUGCAGGAUGAAGGCCUUCGGGUUGUAAACUGCUUUUGUACGGAACGAAAAGCCUUCUUUUAAUACAGGAGGGUCAUGACGGUACCGGAAGAAUAAGCACCGGCUAACUACGUG